UUGCUGCAGCAGCUCAUACACUAAAAUUGGAACAACAGAGAUUAGCAUGGCCCCUGCUCAAGGAUGACAUGCAAAUUCAUGAACUGUUCCAUAUUUUU
This is a small nuclear RNA of Heterocephalus glaber (naked mole-rat), 98 nucleotides long. Lineage: Eukaryota; Metazoa; Chordata; Mammalia; Rodentia; Bathyergidae. The record is from Ensembl.